Molecule: long non-coding RNA, 12072 nt
Organism: Myiozetetes cayanensis
Lineage: Eukaryota; Metazoa; Chordata; Aves; Passeriformes; Tyrannidae
Exons: 6
Source: RefSeq, a predicted model, not a curated record
AGGUGUCCGCGCCAUCUUGCGAGGACGGUGGGCGGGGUUUGGUAGUUUUUUCGGGCUUUUUGGACGGAAGAGAAGGGCUCUCGUCGCUACUUUUGGCAUGUCUCUGGUUUUUCAAAUGUGGAAGGAUGGCACGCCAUGACAUGAGAGAGAGACCUGCGUUCUUAUCGCCCUGUUCAAAGGCAUGUCCCAGCGUGUUUCCUAGCUUGUACCACCGCCGAUAGGUUAAUAAUAAUGGCCAGUCUUUGCGAGCGAAGAUCCGGGGAAGGUCUUUCCACCUUCCAGCCUGCGCAUUGGAUUUUUUUAGGUAGUCCACCAACAUGAACUCUUCAAAGCUGACAGUGGCAUGAAGACCUAGAAUGAGACUCACCCCAUAUUUCUGGAAAUCCAGGCUCUCCUUUUGUUCCUGUUGGACAAACAACUUCAUCAAUUUUUCUUCAGCUUCCACAGUCAGCACUCCCCUUCCCCCAGCAACUGGCAUCAUUGCCAAGACAAAUCUAGCUGAACUGGAGAGCUGUGAUACUACAGGAAGCGCUUGGCUCCUCUGUGCUAAACAGAUGAAAGGCAUGGAGAAACCAGGCAGGAGGAGUAACUAAAUAUAAGCUCUGCCCUGGCUACUCCCAGGCCCACCAGAGGAGACCCACCAGCCCAUCUGCACAGACCCUGGAGAGCACGGGGGGGGUCAUAUGGGAACCCAAGUCAUAGACCCCUGUAACUACAGCAAAGACACCCAGCACCCUGAGAGAGUGGGAGCAGCUCUGCAGGCUGCCCAGAAGGUUCAUGGGGUGGCUGCUGGGUGACGCACAAGCUGAUGGUGCCAGACAGCAACACCAGGUUCUGGAGCGGAGGGCAGCACCUGUUGCUGAAGAGCUGGUUUGGGAAGAGUUCUCCCCACAGCACCUGGGCCAGGGCUGAACCUAUGAUGGGGCACAACUCUCACCAAAGAACUCCAUCCAAUUCCUAGUGGGGUACUUCCAUUUCUCUAUAAUUGCUCUGUUCUGGCGUGUUGUUGCAGAACAGUACAGGUGGAAGUCUAACAAAGUAGCUCACAUGCUGAAUUCAGCACAGCGUGAUUUACCUUUCAGUCCUGGCAAACCAGGCUCUCCAGCUGCUCCUGCAAAACACAAGAGGAAAAUGCUCAUCACAUAUGAAUUACUGUGGCUUCCAAGGUGGCUGCCCCAGGCCCUCAAUAUGUCCCAAAUGUACAAGAGAGCCUGUCAAGAGGUGCAAAGGUACGGUGCUGAACUGAGUGUCCCAGGUGGUGCUGCCAUGUUCUCUUGAACAACUAUCUCUCGGAUACAGCAGGAAGAUCCAGAUACAGGGAAGAGAGAACUGCCAUGCCACCUCCUGUUUAGAGUCAGGCACGUGUGAGAUUUUGUGCAACAGCUGCUUUUUCAGUGGGUUUGUCCAUCUCCUACUGAAGUUUCAGCUCAAGUCUGUGGUGCUUUUGGCCAAGGUGUUUUCCCUGCUUGUCAGCGCUCAGUUCCUGGGUGCUACCUUGUACUGGGAACUCCUUUCUUUAGAAUAGUUACAUUUCCAACAUUUUGCAGCACACAGGCCCUGCUGAAGAUCCUAAGUACAAGCUGGGUGAUGAAAGCCAGUUUCUCAACAGACAUGUUCCUCUUUUCAGGGCCUCAUCCUAUUACAAAGAAAACCUCACCAUGUGUCAGAUGUUUCUUGGUGUUUUGAUUCUGUCCUUCUAAUCAAGUGGGCAUUGUGCACGGAGUCCAAGCCUGGAGACUGUUGGAAGCACUGAGCAACGUGCCUCUGCUUCAGGCCUCUGAGAUGAAGCUCUGCAGUGAGUUUCAAAGUUCCUCAGAGCUGCAGGAUAUUUGGGCAGGUUUGUUUUGUGGCAGAGGAAGGUCAGGGUAGGAGUGGGGAAUAGGGAGAGGUCUGAUUUUAGGGUGCUGUUAAGGAUCAGUGGGAAGUUUGAGAAGAGUAGUUAUCUUCCUCUGUGCUGCGGUCCCACUCAAGGACACUGUUUCUAAAGCUCACUCCAUGCAAUAGCCAUACCCCAAAAUCAGGCUUUGACUAUGCUACUUCAGGGCUGUUUCCUGGACUAUGGCCAACCCUGCAGUUCAUUUCUGUAGACCCAGUCUCCCAAUACUUGUCCUGAACUUGGGGAGAUUUAUGGAUUAGAACUGAAUAUGUUAUGCAUUACCUUUUGCACCAGGUGGUCCUGCUUUCCCAGGGAAUCCCUGUUUUCCCAUUUCUCCUGUAAAGAAAGACUCAUUUUUUUAUGUGCACGUUGCAAGCUGACCAGAGGGGAGAGGUCACAAAAUCCGGGAUAGCUGGGCCUUUGCUUUCACAGAAGAAAGGGACCUGGGUUUUGUUAAUUACAUUCAGUCUUGCAAUGUAGUUUACUCUUUUUCCUUACUCCUUUUCUUCUGUUGAAGCCUCAUUACACUUACACUGUCAGUUUAAGUCCUAAUCUGCAGAAAAUAAAUGGGUUAUUUUGCUGCAGAGAAACAAAUGAAUUAUGACAUUUCACACCCUAGCAUGUCUUUUAACUUUCAGACUUGUGACAGGACUCAGGGAAGAAAGAGGUGACUCCAUGUGUAUCAGAACAUGUCUAGUUGGGGGUGUUUUCCACUCCUAUUUGAUUCUCCAGUUGCUAACAGCGGCCAGUGCCAAGGCUGCCACUGCUGAAGCCUCAUCUUGCUUCCCUUAACCAAAGCAAAAAAGCUGUCUCGUAUCACAGUUCUCAUCCUUGGCUUUAGGGGUCUCACCUUUUUUUCCUGGGAGACCUGGUUCUCCUUUUGGGCCAGAGACACCUGGGAUACCUGGGCAUCCUUGGAGAAUGGCGAGUCGGUCAGCAUCACCCAGUCCCACUAUUCUCACCUCUGAGGAAAGGAAGAAAGUGUUUGUGGAGAUUAUUAGGGUUCUGAAAUAUUUUGGAGAGGAAAGCAAACCCUCUGAAGUUGAAGAAAAACUUGAUCAAAAGCAAUGAGUGUGGAAAUUUGAAGGUGUUGUGUGAAUUGACAGCUGUUGUAUGAAUGGCAUUGAGGAUCUCACAUUUUAGGGGAGCCAGACUCUGAAUCUGUCCUGCCUCAGGAGAGUUCAGUAGGAGAGGAGGCUGAUAUAUAUGAAAUAUAUAUGACAUUGCAUGACAAAUACACUGCAGCUUAAUAAAACAAAAGCUGAGAGGUACACCAGUGGAGUAUUAACAGUGGAGUAAGUGACACUGAUGGAUCUGUGGGCAGUAAGUGUUCUCUUAAAUUUCCUGAUGGCAGGUCAGUUUGAAAUUGUCCCUAUGGCCUUCAUGAGGAAUACAGACAGAACACUGCACUGUGUAGCAUCCCCAGGCUUCCAGGGUGCCUGGCACCCAGCAGGCAUCCACUAAUCCUCUGUAUUGUUCUGCAUCCUUUGGUAACUGUGCCAAGGUACCACCAACAAAAACCUUAACCAGGAUGGAAAAUCUCAAUGGGAACAGCCUGUUCCUAGAGAUCCCGCUGGUGACUGGGGAAGGAUGUUGCAUUUUUAAUUGGAAUUUGCUUUGUUAAGUGGCUUCUCAGACUUCAGCAUCCCCCUUGCACUCCCACCACUUGCAGCUGAAUUUAAAAAAGCUUAGAAGGAACAAAAUUAUAUGCCCCCCCAGCUCCUGCUCUUAUGGGGAGAGAUGAAACAGGCUGUCUCAGUGGGAUGGCAGUAAGAUUUGUGCUCCACUCACCUGAGCAGGUGUCCUCAGCAUCACAAAUAGUUGCUGUCAGGCUGAGCAGUACCAGGAGAGUUGGGGCUGCCUUUCCCAUGGCCAGCACUGCUCUCUGCUUUCUGCACAGCUUCUCUCAGCCACCUCACAGGCGCUGUGGUCAACACUGACCUAUCCAAGCCUUUUAUAUCUAACAAACAGCCCCAGUGUAAGCUCCGCCUCUGCACUUGGCUGCUGGGGCCUGGCUAGGUCUCAAGCUGUUUCCCAGAUAAGCCAUUUUCCACAAGUCUGAUUGGAAAGUUCUAGCCUGGCUGCCCCAGCUGCCUCACCUCUGUCCUCUGAAAAGUCUGUAUGCCUUUCCCUUCUCAUAUUGUGUUUCUAGAGAAAACGAAAGAGCAAAAAUGUGUUUAGCUAAGUGUAGAUAUCUCCCCUCAUCCUACCUGCUACUCGCCCUUUGUGAAGAGCAGAACUUACUGUGUAGAUGGGGAAAAUGAGGCACUGGGAGUCAAAAGCCCAAGGUCAGCUGAGGCCAGGGGCAGAAAGAAGUACACACGGCCUCACACUGCAGCACUCUGCCUACCCACCGGUGCAGCGCCACUUCCCAACCCUUCAAAGAGAGACUUCUGUUUACACAUGAUCCAUGACUGUCAUGGAGUUCAAACUCUGUGCAUCCAGGCAAGGAUAGGUAGGCAGAGCACAUUUGAUUUUUUCCACCACCUCUCUAUUCCAUUAGCAAGCAGAAUUUCUUGUUUUCUUUCCUGUUACUGUGCUCUACUAAUUUGUGGCAGUGUUACUAGAAGUCCAAUAUGCUGUGUAUGCAGUUCCUGGGAUGAAAUUAGAUCAUCAUCUUUCUUCCUUCAGAAGAAAGCCUUCCAGAAGGAAAGGGAAAAUGGAUUAGCAGGCGCUAGGGAGAGAGAGAUCUGUGCAGAGCAGCUUUAGGGUGACUGGGAAUGUGUACACCUCUCUUCUCAUCUGUACAGCCUGUGUUGCCCAUCUGGGAUGAACUGGAGUCUGCACCAUGGGGCAGGUGGAGGAGAAGCAGAGCCAGCCCCUAGCAUUGACAAGCCUUUUCAUGCCCAGUGCCUCUGCUCUGUGUAUGGAAACAGCUGCAAUACCUUGUUCCAGCUAUCUAGAGGAAAAAGCUGCUGGCUUUAGCUGUUCCCCUUGGUAAAUCAUUCCAAAAAAGCGAAGACCUUGCAGAUUGUUACAGUCUCUCAAGGGCUUGAGGCUAAAUCUGUCCUGAUUAAUAAAUUAAAGAAAAACCCACGUAAAAGCGGGUUUGCCCAGCUUUACCCAGUUGUUCCAUCAGCGGGAUCCAGCUGUGAGUUGGGCUGAGAUGUGUGUUAUGGAGACAGCUGUGAUACAUCUGCUCAGCACUGAUGCAUUCCCUUAAGUGUUACCAGCUGGGUCCAUCCAGCCUGUGGAACACUGUUGUCUACCCACUGUUAUCUCAGAGAGCAGCACUGUCCUUGUCAAUGCAGCUCAUUUUACCUGGAAGCUGAGGGGAAACUGCCAGUGAACAAGCUUAGUCCAAAGUAGGUCAGGCUCCCGAGGGUAGAUUUUGAAAUUGACCCAGUGAUCAAUAUGCCUUAAUUGCUUUUUCUCAUCCCAGCACCCAGUGAAGAUUGCAGAGGGUUGAUCAUUUACACCAUCAGAAAUUCUUUUGUAUAUUUACAAUAUUAUAUUUUCCUUGAGCCCUGGGAAAUGCCCCUUGUGAGUCUUGAAAUUCGAGGGUCACUUGGGGAUGAGAAAAGAAUUCUAAGCACACUGGGUGAAUGGGAAGCACCUCUGAACAUUGUGACCAGUCACUUCACCUCCACAGACAUAAAUGCUGAGUGAAAUUCCCAGAAUUGAACUCAUGUACAAAUCCGUAAGAAAUCAGCUUAGGAAAUCAGAAGGCAUAAAAAUCUUCAAAAAGUUCAUGUUGGGAACAUCAUAACCAUGUUUAACAGGGGAUUUAGCACUGAUUAAUGCAAAAUUGUAGGUGGAAUCCUGGAUUCUAAUGGCAUCCUGUGUCUCCACUGCCGCCAGAUUGCUGGAGUUUUGCAGGGAGGAUAGGUAGACAGCAAAAGCUGUAAGUGCAAAAAACAGCAAGUCAUAAAGCUGCAAGAAGGGCAGAUGAUGGGCACUGGGAGCUGGGAGGUAAACUCUGACAAAGCUCACUUUAAGGAACGUGAAAUAAGAGUUUGCAUGAGAUUUGGCAACAUUAGGGGUCCCACACUUGUUCUGGAUGUCACGAAGUUUCUGUUGUAGCUUGCUGCAUGCGAGUCGAAAGGCUGCUUUUCUUAUAAAACAAGAUGGCUGAGCAAGGUGGGCUUGGUGAGCAGUUCUCUUCUUACUCAAAAAUUCCUGGAUCUCAUGAUUGUUUUCAUCAAACCAGUCCUUGUUUUUCUUGAAGGAGAACCCUAAGGAUUCUUCAGAGGACUGCAGAAUGCUAUUUUUAAUAAGUUGCCAAAGCACUUCAGGAGAGGGAUCUGUGGAAUGAACUUCGAGCCUGGAUUGAAGAUUUGCCUGGAAACUGUCCCUCACUGUAGCUGUUUGAAGACUGUUAACUUGAAGUCUCCUUCUAGGAAUGCCACCCUUUUUAGGCUUGAACUUAAGGUGGAGGUUAAGUUUACAGCGCACAAGGCGAUGAUCCGUUUGACAUUCUGCACUAGGCAUCACGCGGGUGUGACGAACAUCGCGGAUAUCUCUCUGUCGGACCAAGAUGUGCCAGUGCUUGGACCUAGGAUGCAUCCAGGUUGUCUUCAGACUAUCUUUCUUCUGAAAGACAGUGUUGGUGAUGGUAAGCUGCUGCUCAACACAAAACUCUAGCAGAAGGCGACCAUUAUCAUUGCAGUUCCCAACACCAUGCUUGCCUAGUAGUUCUUUCCAGGCUUCAGAGUUCUUUCCUACUCUGGCGUUGAAAUCAUCAAGGAUAAUGAUCUUAUCAUCUGCAGGAACCUUUUGGAUAAGGUGGCACAGGUCGGUGUAGAAUUUAUCUUUUUCAGCAGCGUAAGCUUGGAGGGUUGGGGCAUUUAUACUGAAGAGAACAGCAUGUUGCUUGUUCUGUAGUGGGAGAGAUAGGGAGAUAAUGUAAUCAGAAUGACCAAUCGGCAGAUUUUCAAGUUUAGAGGCAAUAGAGUUUUUGGUCAUGAAGCCAACUCCUGAGAGAUGCCUUUCAGAUUGGGUUUACCUGACCAGUAGAGUGUAUAACCAGCACCAUGUUCUCUAAGACUGCCUUCCUCAUGGAGACCAACUUCACUGAGAGCAGCAAUGUCGAUGUUGAGUCGUGACAGUUCAUGGGCAAUUACAGCGGAGCGACGCUCAGGACAUCCACUAUCUGCAGUAUCAGGCAUGGUUCUGACGUUCCAGCAUGUAAGUGUAGCAGUUAUUAAUAUAAUAAAUAAUAAGUCCCAUAGGGACCAUAGCGACACCAACGUGGUGUGUAACAAGAGUAACGUUUAUUCAAGGAGCCACAGCUUAUAUAGCAGUUUCAAAUGCUGCCACGUCACACAGGUAACUUCCUAAGGCCAACCCCAUGCAAGCAUUCAACAGAGCAUGUGUGACAGAGUACUUAGAACUACAACUCCCAGGAUACUUUGCAGCACCUGGUGUAACCAGACCCCAUAUGCAAGUGUUAAUUUGAGUACACCUUUGAAGGCAGGUGUCUGCCUUUUAAUCUUUAUUUGACUUCAUCAGAAGAUACCCGUUGGCAACAGUUAACCAACCAGGUGAAGGAUGGAGAUGAGCUUUGGUUAGACCACCUUUCCUAGGCACUUCUCCGUGUGGAGCAAGCAGUGCUCUCCUUGAAAAAGGCUACUUGGUUAUUCAGGAUGCUGCCGAAUGAGACUGUCACGUCCAGGGUCAGACUCAGGCGACCAAUGUCCUGAACUGCCUGCAUGCAGGGUUAGGACUGUGGCUUCCACUGCACCUUUAUCACCUGCUGUUUUGUCCCUCACCUGUCGCUACAGGGCUUUGCAAGUGUGGGUGUUAUUGGUAAAAAGACCAAAAUUAUAUUUUGGUAAAAUAUAAAAGAAAUUUAUUGAAGGCAAGUAAGCAAAACAGCGCGCUGGGUGACUGGAGGACACUUUCGUUCCAUCAGCGGUCUGCAACGUGACAGACCAACGGUCCAUCUUUUAUACCCCACCCUUUUUCUCCACCCCUCGAGUCUCUUUCAGUUUCUUCGUUGGAUUUCAUUUAGCGGGCUUCCCCGAUAUUGGUCCUUAUUUCGCGGGCUUUCCCGAUAUUGGUCUUUGUUUUUCGCGGGCUCCAUCUUGUCGCCUGUUUUCAGCCAAUGAUCGGAUUAGACCGUAGUCUUCAGAGGCUGUCUCUUGGAGAUUUCCAGACGGGGGGGUAAGUCCUCUCCCUUUGGUUCUUGCUGCUUUUAUUUUCUUGCCCUGUAGGUAUGCUUAGAGCAACCAUCUGUAUAGUACUAAAACAUACAAAUUCAUAAUAAUCAUGUAGGUAAUCACUUAACUACUACAACAUUGUAGUUUCCUUGUGACUGCCCAGUCCAUAACAAAAACAAAGUUCUUCUUAUUGAACUCAUGGUAAUAGGUGCAAUUAACCUUAAUCGCUUAGCUCAAUUUGAUGAGCAAAUUGUAACUUUUAUCCUGGGUUACCUAUUACAGUUCCCCCUUUCCUAUUUCAUCAUAAAUUUGUUCAUCAAAUUUCAUUAUUAUUUCUUUUGUUGCAUUUAGGUUAGGAGUUUGUCUUUCUUCAGGUACCAUUCUAUUCAUAUCCUCAUAUUGUUGGGACAUAGUCAUCAACUGCACUGUGUUAAUUCAAUUUUUGACAAAAGUCAUGAAUUUGUUUAAAAUACAUGGACCAAAAGUUAGUGUAAUUAUCAACAUUGUUAGAGGACCUAUUAAGGUAGAGACUAAGGUAGUUAACCAAGGAGAUUGAUUAUACCAUGAUUCGAACCAGUUUUGUUGUGAUUCUUUCUUUUUCUUUCUUUGGGCAAUUCCAUCUCAUAAUUUUGUCAUGGACUCUCGGAUAACUCCUGAAUGGUUUGCAUAAAAACAACACUCUUCUCCUAAUGCUACACAUAGUCCCCCUUGUUUUAGAAAUAUCAGAUCCAGUCCCCUUCUGUUUUGUAAUACCACCUCAGAGAGUGAGGUGAGUGAUUGUUCUAGAUAUGUUAUUGAUUUUUCGAUUCGAUCUAAAUCUUCAUCUACUGCUGUCCUUAAGGCUAUUAGUCCUUUUCUGUGUUGAACCAGGGAAGUGAUUCCUGUCGCGGUUCCUGUUGCCCCCAGUCCCAGCAACAUAGCUAUAGUGAGGGUAAUCGGUUCUCGUUUUUGUAUUUUAUGAUGACCCGAUUCCCAUUGUUCAAACAGUGAUUCCUCAGAAUGAUAAAUCAUUCAAGGUAUUAUCACAAUUUGUAUGCAAAAUUCAGUACUUUCAUUAAAUUUUGGUAAAAACACACAGGGUGUUAAGCCCAUUUUUGAACAUAUCCACCAUUCUUCUUUAUUUGGUAUAGCCCAUUGAUAUUUUCUUUUGUUUGGUUUUAAUACUUCAAAACCACACAAUUCAUCUUUGUUUAGGGGAACAUUUCCCAUACAUGUUCUAUAUCCUCUAAUUUGUUGCAUGGUAAGUCCCACUCUUUUCUGGUCCUAUUUGCAUUGUUUAGGAUUAUUUUCUUUAUUUAUGUUAAAAGUAACAUUCAGUCUGAUCCCUUCAUAGAACGGCGGUUCAUCGUCAUAACACAGCCAGUAGGAUUUAGUUAUAUUGGGUGUGGACUGAUUGAGAGCACUAUAGGAUGCCUCUGCUAAUCUUAAAAGCUCUCUUACUCCGGGAGAGAGUCUUAUUUUUUCAUAGGUUUUUGUAGUGGGUAGAAAAGGUUGUGAUGACUUUUCUUCCCCUUUGUUUUUUCCUUUCUCCUUUUCGUUAUUUACUACCUUGUUAGGUCCUAUGGUCUGAGAUGGUGGAGACAUUGGUUGUUUUAUUAUCUUUAUUUCACUUCCUAUAUCUGUCCCAGGUGAAAGAGGCCAUCGGCACAAGUGUGGAGAAGAGCCAGGUGAACACUGGUGAGCAAGAUGAGCGUGGACUCCUUGACAGAAGUAGAUGUUCCUUUUCUGAUGCUGCCCAGGUCGCUUUUGGAAAGAGAGGAGAAUUCCAGCCGCAGCCUCUGGCAUGGGCAGAGGCGGCAGGACUCCGUCCGGAGCCGGUGAGCCGAGGACCUCGGUGCAGCUGGGAGAGUCUGACAAGGAGAAUAAGCCAGCGUCUGCAGGAACCUCUGAGGUAGCCGAGAUGACCUUUCCUGUGUGUUGAAGAAGGAUUCACAACCCCAGCUGUCAUAAAGAUAAGUGGAGGGCUGUGACCCGGAGAAGGGAGGAGAGCAGGGUACCGGGUUGGGAAUUUCUGGGAUCGAUUUAGAAAUUAGCGUAAGGAGAGAGGGAUGUCCAGUAACAGGCCCCUAGUGCACAAAGAGGGAGUGGCUUGCUUUGGAGCACAACACCGGGCCGUGCAGGGCAGAGCAAUUCCGGUCUGCGUCACACAGUUUGUCUAGUCCGUCUUGCGUGUCUUGCGGGUUCCUCGGAUCAGCCGUCUUUGCGUUCUGUCCCAAAGGGGCUUAAGGGAAGCGUGGGGCGUCAUCCCCGGGGUCUCGAAUGUCUCCUCGGCACGGUGCCGAUAUCGUCCGUUCCUCGACUCGCAAUCUUGCAUCGAAAUCGCAUCUUGGAAUUUUACAGUCGGGUGUCUUCUCCGGCCACAUUUCAGGCUGCGUCGUCAGCUGUCCCCCCAGUCUUACAUCCCGAACGUAGCGUUCUCACACAUCCCUCUUUGCGGUUUUGACAGGCCCUUCUUGCCCAAGGUAGUUCUCUUUGAGUCUUUCCAGAGGUUGCCGUAGGGCAUUCUCAGCUCGGAGACGCAGUCGCGUAGGUCAUCUUGCUCAACAGCAUCUCGGUUCUCGGAGUUCUGCUGCUUGCCGAGAACUGUCUCUCAUCAUUCUGCUGCAUGUUUGUAAUGUUACGUGUCAGGUGGGCAUGUGUUUGUCCCGAAGCUGCUCUGCUCUGAUGUUAGAUGAGGGGGCGGGGGGUUGCAGGUACGUGAUAUCAUAAAAGUUGCAGGUAAUCCAACCUGCAGGAGGUUGAGGGUAAGUCAUUUCUUCCCUAAGAGGAAAGGGGUUUUGUUUGCUUGCAGGAGUCCCGUGCUGAAAUUGCCAGUCUGACUGCCAAAACUGAAUACAAACAAAGAUUCCUCUGAGGCAAAGCUUCCAUCACAGAAAGCUCCCGCUGUCCAUGGAGUAUCCAGGAGGGCCUACAACCUUGACUACUGACCCCGUGGGUAAGCACUUUCUUUCCUGAGAGAAUUGGCUGUCGUUCACUUGUAGGAAUCCUGUGCCGAAAUUGCCAGUCUCACCCCCGAAUUGAAUAUGGACGAAGAUUCCUCCAAAACAAGAGGUGCAAGGACAGAAACCUCCUGCUGCCCAUGGAUUGCCCAGGCUGGGCCACCAACUGCACUGGAGACCCCCAAGGUAAACACUUUCUUUCCUGGGACAAAAGGCUAUUGUUCGCUUGCCAGGAUCAUGCGCUGAAAUUCCAAGUAUGACUGCCAAAAUUGAGUUUGGAUGAAGAUUCCUCCAAGACAGAAGGUGACUGGACAGAAAGCUCUUGCUUCCCAUAGAAUGCCAAGGGCAGCCCACAACUAGGACCCUUGACCCUGGGGAUAAGCACUAUCUUUCCUGGGAGAAAAGGCUGUUGUUCGCAUGCAGGAAUCCUGUGCUGAAAUUGCCACUCUGACUGCAAAAUUGAAUACAAACGAAGAUUCAUCCCAGACAGAAGGGGGCAGGACAGAAACCUCAUGCUGCCCGUGGAUUGCCCAGGCUGGCCCACCAACCGCACCUGAGAGCCCGAGGGUAAGCACUUUCUUUCCUGGGAGAAAGGGCCGUUGUUCCCUUGCAGGAAUCCUACACUGAAAGUACCAGUCGGUCUUCAAAAUUGAAUCCAGACAAAGAUUCCUCCAGGAAAGAAGGUGGCUGGACAGAAAUCUCCUGCUGCCAAUGGAGUGUGGAGGCCAGCCUACAACCUGGACUUUGACCCCGAGUGUAAACACUUUCUUUCCCAGGAGAAAGGGCUGUUGUUCGCUCAGAGAUAACCUGUGUUGAAAUUGCCAGUCCGAGUCCAAAAUGGAAUACGAAUGAAGAUUCUUCCCAGAUAAAAGGUGCCAAUCGAGAAAUCUCUUGUUGCCCAUGGAGUGCCCAGGCCGGUCCACCAAAUACUCAUAACAGCCAAAGGCUACAGGCUUUCUUUCCCGGGAGAAAGGGCUGUUGUUCUCCUGCAAGAGUCCAGCGGUGAAACUGCCAGUCUGACUGCCAAAAUUGAAUACAAACAAAGGUUCCUCCCAAACUGAAAGUGGCUGGGCAGAACGCUCCUGUUGUUCAUGGAGGGCCCAGGCUGGCCUACAAACCAGACCCUUGAAAACAACAGUAAGCAUUUUCUUUCCUG